AGGAAUAUUGGUCAAUGGGCGAGAGCCUGAACCAGCCAAGUAGCGUGAAGGAUGAAGGUCCUACGGAUUGUAAACUUCUUUUAUACGGGAAUAAAGUUUCCUACGUGUAGGAUUUUGUAUGUACCGUAUGAAUAAGCAUCGGCUAACUCCGUGCCAGCAGCCGCGGUAAUACGGAGGAUGCGAGCGUUAUCCGGAUUUAUUGGGUUUAAAGGGAGCGCAGACGGGAGAUUAAGUCAGUUGUGAAAGUUUGCGGCUCAACCGUAAAAUUGCAGUUGAUACUGGUUUCCUUGAGUGCAGUUGAGGCAGGCGGAAUUCGUGGUGUAGCGGUGAAAUGCUUAGAUAUCACGAAGAACCCCGAUUGCGAAGGCAGCUUGCUAAACUGUAACUGACGUUCAUGCUCGAAAGUGUGGGUAUCAAACAGGAUUAGAUACCCUGGUAGUCCACACGGUAAACGAUGGAUACUCGCUGUUGGCGAUAUACUGUCAGCGGCCAAGCGAAAGCAUUAAGUAUCCCACCUGGGGAGUACGCCGGCAACGGUGAAACUCAAAGGAAUUGACGGGGGCCCGCACAAGCGGAGGAACAUGUGGUUUAAUUCGAUGAUACGCGAGGAACCUUACCCGGGCUUAAAUUGCAGACGAAUUACGAGGAAACUUGUAAGCCGCAAGGCGUCUGUGAAGGUGCUGCAUGGUUGUCGUCAGCUCGUGCCGUGAGGUGUCGGCUUAAGUGCCAUAACGAGCGCAACCCUCGUGGUCAGUUACUAACAGGUUAAGCUGAGGACUCUGGCCAGACUGCCAUCGUAAGAUGUGAGGAAGGUGGGGAUGACGUCAAAUCAGCACGGCCCUUACGUCCGGGGCUACACACGUGUUACAAUGGGGGGUACAGAAGGCAGCUACCCGGCGACGGGAUGCCAAUCCCCAAAACCUCUCUCAGUUCGGACUGGAGUCUGCAACCCGACUCCACGAAGCUGGAUUCGCUAGUAAUCGCGCAUCAGCCACGGCGCGGUGAAUACGUUCCCG
This 1016-nucleotide ribosomal RNA is filed under the name uncultured bacterium. RNAcentral describes it as "bacterial SSU rRNA". It matches the Rfam family "Bacterial small subunit ribosomal RNA", at positions 357 to 1376 of the family's 1533-position model. The record is from RNAcentral.